CAGGUGCUGCAUGGCUGUCGUCAGCUCGUGUUGUGAAAUGUUGGGUUAAGUCCCGGCAACCGAGCCGCAACCCUUAUCCCUUUGUUGCCAGCGGUCCGCCGGGAACUCAAAGGAGACUGCCAGUGAUAACUGGAGGAAGGUGGGAUGACGUCAAGUCAUCAUGGCCCUUACGACCAGGGCUACACACGUGCUACAAUGGCGCAUACAAAGAGAAGCGACCUCGCGAGAGCAAGCGGACCUCAUAAAGUGCGUCGUAGUCCGGAUUGGAGUCUGCAACUCGACUCCAUGAAGUCGGAAUCGCUAGUAAUCGUGGAUCAGAAUGCCACGGUGAAUACGUUCCCGGGCCUU
This 348-nucleotide ribosomal RNA is filed under the name uncultured Enterobacteriaceae bacterium. RNAcentral describes it as "bacterial SSU rRNA". It matches the Rfam family "Bacterial small subunit ribosomal RNA", at positions 1035 to 1382 of the family's 1533-position model. The record is from RNAcentral. Lineage: Bacteria; Pseudomonadati; Pseudomonadota; Gammaproteobacteria; Enterobacterales; Enterobacteriaceae.